Molecule: small nucleolar RNA, 108 nt
Organism: Rhododendron vialii
Lineage: Eukaryota; Viridiplantae; Streptophyta; Magnoliopsida; Ericales; Ericaceae
Product: small nucleolar RNA snoR100
Exons: 1
Source: RefSeq, a predicted model, not a curated record
GACUGAAGGAAGCAUGGUAAUGUGCUCAAAAAUUAAUUUGGGUCUCUAGGCUUGCCCUCUUUGAUACCUUUCGGCUUUGAUUUGGGAGCAUGGUUCCGCAACAAAACG